CCUACGGGAGGCAGCAGUGAGGAAUAUUGGUCAAUGGACGAGAGUCUGAACCAGCCAAGUAGCGUGAAGGAUGACUGCCCUAUGGGUUGUAAACUUCUUUUAUAUGGGAAUAAAACAGGGUAUGCAUACCCUCUUGUAUGUACCAUAUGAAUAAGGAUCGGCUAACUCCGUGCCAGCAGCCCCGUUAAUACGGAGGAUCCGAGCGUUAUCCGGAUUUAUUGGGUUUAAAGGGAGCGUAGGUGGAUUGUUAAGUCAGUUGUGAAAGUGUGCGGCUCAACCGUAAAAUUGCAGUUGAUACUGGCAGUCUUGAGUACAGUAGAGGUGGGCGGAAUUCGUGGUGUAGCGGUGAAAUGCUUAGAGAUCACGAAGAACUCCGAUUGCGAAGGCAGCUCACUGGACUGCAACUGACACUGAUGCGCGAAAGUGUGGGUAGCAAACAGGAUUAGAUACCCGGGUAGUC
Molecule: ribosomal RNA, 460 nt
Filed under: uncultured bacterium
Lineage: Bacteria
Description: partial 16S ribosomal RNA
Rfam family: Bacterial small subunit ribosomal RNA
Source: RNAcentral